Molecule: long non-coding RNA, 308 nt
Filed under: Brassica rapa (field mustard)
Lineage: Eukaryota; Viridiplantae; Streptophyta; Magnoliopsida; Brassicales; Brassicaceae
Description: long non-coding RNA (BRAP_LNC002490)
Source: RNAcentral
UAUAAAAUAAAUAUUUAAAACAUCAACUUUAAAUUCUAAACCCUAAACUUCAACUCUAAACCCUAAACUAUCAACACUAAACCCUAAACUAUCAGCCCUAGACCCUAAAAAGUAAACUCUAAACCCUAAACCCUAAAAAGUUAAUCCUAAACCCAAAAAAACCAACCCUAAAUCCUAAACCCUAAACCUUCAACUCUAAAACCUAAACAUAAACCCUAAAAACCUGAAACAUCAACUCUAAACCCUAAACCUCAACUCUAAACCCUAAACUUUAACUCUAAAGCCUAAACCCUAAAAAAUUAACCCUA